Molecule: microRNA precursor, 71 nt
Filed under: Paramuricea clavata
Lineage: Eukaryota; Metazoa; Cnidaria; Anthozoa; Malacalcyonacea; Plexauridae
Source: RNAcentral
UUUGUAUUACGUGCGGAAAUUGUUACCAUUUUCGGCUCAAAAAUGGUAACAAUUUCCGCACGUAAUACAUU